GAUGAACGCUGGCGGCGUGCUUAACACAUGCAAGUCGAACGGAAAGGCCAGUGCUUGCACUGGUACUCGAGUGGCGAACGGGUGAGUAACACGUGGGUGAUCUGCCCUGCACUUCGGGAUAAGCCUGGGAAACUGGGUCUAAUACCGGAUAGGACAAUGGUUUGGAUGCCGUUGUGGAAAGUUUUUUCGGUGUGGGAUGAGCUCGCGGCCUAUCAGCUUGUUGGUGGGGUAAUGGCCUACCAAGGCGUCGACGGGUAGCCGGCCUGAGAGGGUGUACGGCCACAUUGGGACUGAGAUACGGCCCAGACUCCUACGGGGGGCAGCAGUGGGGAAUAUUGCACAAUGGGCGCCAGCCUGAUGCAGCGACGCCGCGUGGGGGAUGACGGCCUUCGGGUUGUAAACUCCUUUCGCUAGGGACGAAGCGUAUUUGUGACGGUACCUGGAGAAGAAGCACCGGCUAACUACGUG
RNAcentral lists this ribosomal RNA (468 nucleotides) under uncultured bacterium. RNAcentral describes it as "partial 16S ribosomal RNA". It matches the Rfam family "Bacterial small subunit ribosomal RNA", at positions 28 to 507 of the family's 1533-position model. The record is from RNAcentral.